AAGUGCAGAAAAUGAGGGUUGAAAUGGCUGCCAUGAAGAGGGACGCUGAGCAUUAUUCACGCCAGGUAACUGUUAAGAUUGAUUCACCUUUUAAUUAGAAGUGUGGUUGUCAAUUGUAUUGAUGAUGUAUAAACUGAAAGCGCUUAUUAUAGUGACUGUUGAACUUAGUGAAGCCUUGAAUUUCAUUGCUUAUUUGAUUUAUGUAGUUGUAUAUCAACUAUCAAGUUAUAUGGCACUGAUUUACUGUUGUUGAUAUCUUAUUUCUUAAAUUUUCCAUCUCAUCUGAAACUGUGAUGAAAUUCAGUUCAUCAGUUGCUUUCCAUAUGCUAGUUUAUAAAGUAUAUUUCAAACCAGGCAUUAUUUUAUUUUCUAACCCUCAUUUUUUAGCAUACUUUUCUUAACAUGGAAGAAUAAGCUAUGAUUUUGACCUUGGUGUUGAUGGAAGUCGCAUUAUUUAACACCAAAACCCAUAUUUUACGGGUUUUUCAAAGAAGAAAAAUGCUGAGAAUAGAUGGUCUCUGCAAAAAGAUGGGCUACAAGGACGCCAAGUUACUGAUGCUUUACGGGUAUUAGAUUUAUCCUUUUUCAUCUGUUUCUUGUGUGUUCCUAGCUUUCAUUGUAAAAUGGGAUAGCUAAAUUAUAUGGUUUCUGCGUGCUCCAAAUUCCUGAAAAAAGGUUGAGAACAUUGGCAAGUAAAUUUUUAGAGAAAGUUCUAUGAAGUUUUUUAUGGAUUCUGUGGCGCAGACCCAUAUUUUUUAUUUUGGCAUAUCAUGUAAUUGUUGUACAAGUAAAAAGUAGACUGAAUCAGUUUACUAUGAAGUUUUUAGAGAAAGGUCUAUGAAGUUUUAAAAAUAUAUAUACAUUUGUUUCAAUUUAUUCUGUUGAGUUUACUUGAAAAUUUGUGGAAUUAUGUAUUACUUGCUUUAUUUUUUUAAUAGCUUAUACUGUUAGUGAAUUAGAUAGAUUUACUCCCUGUUAUACCUAUAUCUAAGUUGAAAUUAUAUAUAUGCCUUUGCAUUCCAAAUAUGAAAAAUUGGAAAUUAGGCAUAGCCUAUUGAAAUUGGUGUUUUGAUAUGAAUGUGUUAUGCUUCUGUUUGUGCAAAUCUGCAUCGUACCAUGGUAGGAUAUUCAACAUUUGAGUUUGUGUUGAACAAAUAAGCAAUGGAAGUGCUUUGUAGGAUUAUCAAAGGAAUUCUCACCAAUAAGGUUUGUUUUACAUGAUUUUUUUAUGUGCAAUUGUUUUUACUAUCAAAUUCUUGCUCAUAUUUUAGUUUAAUAGAUUUUCAUUUUUGAGAUGGUUAUAAUGGGGGUUUUAUUCUACCAAUCAGUUGGUGGGUCUUUUUUUUGUCCUUUUUCAUUUUCUACUUUUUUUUCUGGUUUUGUAAUGGUGAAUGCAGUAUGGUUGAUGGUUUUGUAGGGGAAGAAGUUCUAUUAAUAGGUAUUUACAAUGGAAGAGUGGUAAGGUUUGGAGCAAGUUAUUUUCAGCUGGGGAUGAUUCUUGUAAUUCUUGUUCUGAAUUGGAGCCAGCUUUAUGCAGGAUUUAUAUCUCAUUCUCAUGCAACAUGCUACCACUUGGGUGAUACAGGUUAAAAAGUUGUAGCAGCAGUUGCAGAAAGAGACCGAUUUGCACUUAGCUCUAGCAAGAUAAGGCCCAGGAGCUUUUAGAUAGCAUAGCUGUUCUCGAGAUUACCGUAGCAAAGUUACAGCAAGCAUUACACCAAGGACCGUGUUAAUUUUGUUGGCUGGAAGGUUUAUGGGGAAGAGAGUUGUUUUCUUGAAGCAACUUACGUCUGGGCUCCUUUUGGUCACCGGUGGGCAUUACAUAUUUUACUGCUAUCCUUGUUUCGUCAUUGAUUUGCUUACUUCUUGAAAAUAUUGGAUGUAUGAUAUAUGUUAUUCAAUUGCGAGCUGGAUAUAUGAACAUGUUUGUUAAAACCCUUGUUAUUGAUUUCUGCAGUAUUACUUCCAUAGUUUCUCA
Gossypium raimondii (Peruvian cotton) is the source of this 1978-nucleotide RNA transcript. RefSeq lists it as uncharacterized. The record is from RefSeq and is a predicted model, not a curated record. Lineage: Eukaryota; Viridiplantae; Streptophyta; Magnoliopsida; Malvales; Malvaceae. The transcript is spliced from 3 exons.